AUAACUGCAGACGGUGGAUCGCUC
RNAcentral lists this ribosomal RNA (24 nucleotides) under Pseudosagitta maxima. RNAcentral's name for it is "partial 5.8S ribosomal RNA". Lineage: Eukaryota; Metazoa; Chaetognatha; Sagittoidea; Aphragmophora; Sagittidae. The record is from RNAcentral.